CUCCUACGGGAGGCAGCAGUGAGGAAUAUUGGUCAAUGGGCGAGAGCCUGAACCAGCCAAGUAGCGUGAAGGAUGACUGCCCUAUGGGUUGUAAACUUCUUUUAUAAAGGAAUAAAGUCGGGUAUGGAUACCCGUUUGCAUGUACUUUAUGAAUAAGGAUCGGCUAACUCCGUGCCAGCAGCCGCGGUAAUACGGAGGAUCCGAGCGUUAUCCGGAUUUAUUGGGUUUAAAGGGAGCGUAGAUGGAUGUUUAAGUCAGUUGUGAAAGUUUGCGGCUCAACCGUAAAAUUGCAGUUGAUACUGGAUAUCUUGAGUGCAGUUGAGGCAGGCGGAAUUCGUGGUGUAGCGGUGAAAUGCUUAGAUAUCACGAAGAACUCCGAUUGCGAAGGCAGCCUGCUAAGCUGCAACUGACAUUGAGGCUCGAAAGUGUGGGUAUCAAACAGGAUUAGAUACCCUGGUAGUCCACACGGUAAACGAUGAAUACUCGCUGUUUGCGAUAUACGGCAAGCGGCCAAGCGAAAGCGUUAAGUAUUCCACCUGGGGAGUACGCCGGCAAUGGUGAAACUCAAAGGAAUUGACGGGGGCCCGCACAAGCGGAGGAACAUGUGGUUUAAUUCGAUGAUACGCGAGGAACCUUACCCGGGCUUAAAUUGCAGAUGAAUUACGGUGAAAGCCGUAAGCCGCAAGGCAUCUGUGAAGGUGCUGCAUGGUUGUCGUCAGCUCGUGCCGUGAGGUGUCGGCUUAAGUGCCAUAACGAGCGCAACCCUUAUCUUUAGUUACUAACAGGUCAUGCUGAGGACUCUAGAGAGACUGCCGUCGUAAGAUGUGAGGAAGGUGGGGAUGACGUCAAAUCAGCACGGCCCUUACGUCCGGGGCUACACACGUGUUACAAUGGGGGGUACAGAAGGCAGCUACCUGGUGACAGGAUGCUAAUCCCAAAAGCCUCUCUCAGUUCGGAUCGAAGUCUGCAACCCGACUUCGUGAAGCUGGAUUCGCUAGUAAUCGCGCAUCAGCCAUGGCGCGGUGAAUACGUUCCCGGGCCUUGUACACACCGC
This 1054-nucleotide ribosomal RNA is filed under the name uncultured bacterium. RNAcentral describes it as "bacterial SSU rRNA". It matches the Rfam family "Bacterial small subunit ribosomal RNA", at positions 336 to 1393 of the family's 1533-position model. The record is from RNAcentral.